Molecule: ribosomal RNA, 460 nt
Filed under: uncultured bacterium
Lineage: Bacteria
Description: partial 16S ribosomal RNA
Rfam family: Bacterial small subunit ribosomal RNA
Source: RNAcentral
CCUACGGGAGGCAGCAGUGAGGAAUAUUGGUCAAUGGAAGAGAGUCUGAACCAGCCAAGUAGCGUGAAGGAUGACUGCCCUAUGGGUUGUAAACUUCUUUUAUAUGGGAAUAAAACAGGGUAUGCAUACCCUCUUGUAUGUACCAUAUGAAUAAGGAUCGGCUAACUCCGUGCCAGCAGCCGCGGUAAUACGGAGGAUCCGAGCGUUAUCCGGGUUUAUUGGGUUUAAAGGGAGCGUAGGUGGAUUGUUAAGUCAGUUGUGAAAGUUUGCGGCUCAACCGUAAAAUUGCAGUUGAAACUGGCAGUCGUGAGUACAGUAGAGGUGGGCGGAAUUCGUGGUGUAGCGGUGAAAUGCUUAGAUAUCACGAAGAACUCCGAUUGCGAAGGCAGCUCACUGGACUGCAACUGACACUGAUGCUCGAAAGUGUGGGUAUCAAACAGGAUUAGAUACCCCAGUAGUC